Molecule: ribosomal RNA, 332 nt
Filed under: uncultured Tomentella
Lineage: Eukaryota; Fungi; Basidiomycota; Agaricomycetes; Thelephorales; Thelephoraceae
Description: eukaryotic LSU rRNA
Rfam family: 5.8S ribosomal RNA (bases 1-72)
Source: RNAcentral
GUGAAUCAUCGAAUCUUUGAACGCACCUUGCGCCCCUUGGUUAUUCCUCGGGGCAUGCCUGUUUGAGUAUCAUGAACACCUCAACUCUCAUGGGUUUCCAUGAUGAGCUUGGACUUUGGGGGUUUGCUGGCCCUGCGGUCGGCUCCUCUCAAAUGAAUCAGCUUGCCAUUGUUGGUGGCAUCCCACGGGUGUGAUAACUAUCUACGCUCGCGGUUGUCUGCCAGGUAACCCUCAGCGAUGAAGGUUCAUUGGGGCUCACAAACGUCUCUCCUCGGCGAGGACGACUUUUGAACGUUCGAUCUCAAAUCAGGUAGGACUACCCGCUGAACUUA